Long non-coding RNA from Dunckerocampus dactyliophorus (ringed pipefish), 1779 nucleotides. RefSeq lists it as uncharacterized. NCBI's taxonomy places the organism in Eukaryota, Metazoa, Chordata, Actinopteri, Syngnathiformes, Syngnathidae. The record is from RefSeq and is a predicted model, not a curated record. The transcript is spliced from 4 exons.
UUCUGUCAGAGACAAAUACAGCUCAUUAGGAUUAAAGUUACACACACACAGAGUAGAAUUUACUAAAUCACUUUUAAACUGUCUACAUUCCAGCAAAAUACUACAGUAUGGGAGCUUCAGCAUGUAUUUGUCAUAAUAUUGUUGUUCAUGUUCUUGUCUACCUUGAAAUUAUCUUCAGUCAGGCCUUCCUCCGUCUUGGCGUCUCUGAUCAUGGCGGCCACGUAGCGCUUCACCAGGUUCCUCAGCACCUCCUGUGUACAGUUCAUCCAUCAAAGAGGCCAUCAGCACACCUUCCACUGGCGUCUCCAUCGAGGAGUCACGGCCCGUUAGGCGGGAGACAAAUGGCAAGCGGCGACUCAAAAAGGAAGCGCACUUCGAGAAUACUCCCACCCCGCGCCCCACCCCCACUCACACAACACCCAACCCCCCCGCUGAGGUGAACAAAUAACUCCACCCCACCCGGACAGCACUCUGCACAGUGCACAUGUGCAUGCAGGCCUGCAGAGCUUCAAAAAGAACAUCUGCAACGUUUCAGCUCAAUGCUUCUGCUGAUGGUGAUGGACUGGAGACAAAGAAGCUCACCUGCAUACCGCCGCUGGGCUUCUUGUGGUUGAGCAACAGCUCCACAGCACCCACCACCUCCUUGCGGAUGGCAUGCAGCAGGGCGUCACCGACAUACACGUUGAAGCCGAGCAGCAGCUCGAUGAUCUCCAGGUUCUCAUUCUCGAUGGCAAUGAGCAGUGCCGUGCGGCCCAGCGGGUCGAUGCAGUUGAUGUUGAUCUUGAAGUAGAUCUCCGCCUCCUGCAUUCACGUGGAGAGCAAGAACCUUACUGAUUUUCAAAGCAUACACUGUAUGACCAGAGAUUUUUUUAGGGUAGCUGAGCCCUCUGGAGGCACAGAUUUGGACCAAUCUUGGAACUUUUACUGUCAAAACAAUACAGAUACAGUACUUUGCACAGUUUUGUUUUAAAAGGAGUGAUACAUCUGUCACUAGCUCCUUUUCCACCGCAGGAACUUUUUUAGGAACUUUUCUAUUGGGCAAGAGCAAGAAACCUACUGUUUAAGGUAGCUGAGCUCUCUUGAAGUCACAAAUUUAACCCAAUCUUGGAAAUUAUAAAGUCAAAACAACACCUCAGCUGAUAUGUACAUUAGUACAGCUUUGCUUUGUAAGGAGUGAUACAUCUGUCACGAAUCCCUUUUCUACUGCAGUAAUCUAUUUACAUGUAAUUUUGAAAAUACAUGCUGCGUCUCCAGCAAAACUACCCGGAACUUUUGAAAACCUCAGGCAAAUAAAAAAGUUCCUCUGGUGGAAAAGGGGCAAGUGGAUGUAUCACUCCUUACAAAACACCGCUGUACAAAAUAUCUGUAGAACAGUUUGUUUUGGCAUUAAAAUCUCCAACGUUGGGUCAAUUCGGUGAAUUCAACAGAGCUGAGCUCACCUAAAAACAUCUUUGUACAUGCUUUGAAAAUCACUAGGGUUUUUGCUCUUGCUCAAUAGAAAAGUUCCUGCAGUGGAAAAGGGGCUAGUGAAUUUUAUCACUCCUUACAAAGCAACACUGUACAAAAUAUCAGUAGAAUCAGUAAAGCUCUAGUAAGGGGCUAGUGACAGAUGCAUCACUCCUUACAAAACAAAAUAUCAGUAGAAUCAGUACAGCCCUAGUAAGGGGCUAGUGACAGAUGCAUCACUCCUUACAAAACAAAAUAUCUGUAGAAUCAGUCAAGGUUUUGUUUUGACAUUACAACUUCCAAGACUGGCUCAAAUUUGUGACCUAAAGAGAC